Molecule: long non-coding RNA, 1442 nt
Organism: Symphalangus syndactylus (siamang)
Lineage: Eukaryota; Metazoa; Chordata; Mammalia; Primates; Hylobatidae
Source: RefSeq, a predicted model, not a curated record
ACACUGAGCUGUGUAUUUUGGGCCCCUCUGAAGGGCCAUUUCUGGUGAAAUACCAGGUUUUGAAAUACUUCACUCCUUGUUUGCAUUCGGAAGCCCAUACAUGCUCAGGUCUCUCAAAGCCUGUGUUCAGAGAGGCUGGAGGUAACGCGGGCGACAGAAUCAGACUCUAGUGGGGGAACACAGUGGCCCUCUACUCUUGGGCUGGGCCUACAGGAGCCACUGGAGGUGGAAGAGGGAGCUUGCUCUCACGGAGUCCACCUCUGGCUGGGAAGAGCAGACGAAGGCAUGCAGAGGAUGGGCUCCAUCCCGAGGGUUCCAGAUUUCCUGGCUGGAAAUACGUCUUCCAUGCCCCCGAGCCUUUGCCCUCCCUCCAUGUGAGCAGCUUUACAGCCUCCAACCCCUGCUGCCCACAGCAAACCAGAGCUGCAAACACUGAUUGGCCCUCACUCUGCACAGGCCCUGGAGGGACCCCAGAAGCUGUGAAACCUGGUCCCAGCCCUCAAGGCCUCCACUCACUGAACACUGAAGGCGAAAAGUUAAAUGACCAUGAUAGAGAUGAGUGAGAGGUUAAGUCAGAAAUGAGAGACUGUCGCAGCCCAGAAUUGUCAAAUGGAUGUGCCAACGAUACAUGCUGCAAAUGUCGGCAGCCCUGAAGCAGAGGUGGUCUUCACUGAGGGUGAGAAACUGGUGCUGUCAGAGAGCGUAUGAGGGGCCCAAAGUCACACUGCCUCUGGGUGUGUGCAUGUGGAGCCAGGAUUUGAUCCUGGGCAGAACAAACCCCAAGUGCCACCAGGUGCAGUCGAUCACAUGAUGACCCCCAUUUUACUGAUGAGAAAACUGGGACCUAGAGAGGUUGAGUAACCUGUCCAAGACACCUGGAUGAUAAGCCGGACCCAGCCGACAAGCCCAGCCAGUUUGAUGCCAGAAUCCUCUUACCUGACCUCUGUGCCUGCCAUCCCAGCUGCUAGAGUGAAGGGCCAGCCUUUCCUCACUGCAGGAUGGACCCCAGGCCUCUCUCUGGGUUUCCAGAUCCUACUCUGAAGAUGAGGAGAUGACAUUUAGCACCAGCCCUCUCUAAUUGGCUCUAAGAGGAAUCGGUGUUCCCUGAUGGUUCAGAAGUCAAAAGGGUUAACUGUAGCUUUAUUCCCCUUUCAAAGGAAAUAAAGCAGAAGUCCUAUUUGGGGAUAGGCCCUAUGCCUGAGUCACUUUGGCACUUAAUUGCUAUUAUUUAAUUGCUGUAUUGGGGAGGACAAAGUGAUCUACUGCAAAGUUAUUAGCAAAUUCUAGUUUUAAGGAAAUAAUUACUGAAUUCUCCCUCCCUGGGUUGAGUAAUUCCUUCCAAGAUGCUCAGUGACAUUAAGCAUUUUCACUAGGGCCGCUAGCAGCUCUGUAAUAUGCAAAUAAAGUAACUCUGUAAUUACCAAUAAAAUGCUUACUGAAGU